RNAcentral lists this unclassified non-coding RNA (341 nucleotides) under Hevea brasiliensis (rubber tree). Lineage: Eukaryota; Viridiplantae; Streptophyta; Magnoliopsida; Malpighiales; Euphorbiaceae. The record is from RNAcentral.
GAACUCAAAGUCAAUCUCAUCAUGUGUUGGCCCUUGAGAAGACAACUGCCAAACAAAUAAUAUAACUAAGACCACCUUUGUUAUACACUAGUCAAAUUUAUAACCACAAUAACCUAUUUAAUAUGACGAAUUAAUAAAAAAUUAGCAUGUAAAUAAAAAUAGAUCCUAUAAAAUUAAAAGUAUUUACUCUUAAUUCUUUAUUUUAAGAACAUUUAGAAAAAAGUUGAUAACUGCAUUUACAUGGCAUUUUUUAUUGGCCAUCUAAUUAUUUUUUAUUAAUUAGAUUUUCAUUAAAAUUAAAUUAAAAAUUUCAAAAUUUUACAGAUGAUUUGAUGUUGAUA